GGACUCCACAAAGUUCACCUCCAUAUUGAAUCUCUGUCAAAGAUGGAAGAGGGGAAAAGUCCCUAAAGAUUAUAAGCAGACAGUCUCUCCUAAUAUAGCAGUCUCUCUUUUAUUCAAAGGGCUACCUCCACCCUUCUUGAAUGUUCCUGUUGUCUGAGAUGCCGGAGGUCUAGGAGUUUGGCAGAUGGGGAGCGGGAGGGAUGCUUUGUGAAUGAAAAGAUCAAAUUCCUGAGAUCCAGUUUUGGGCAAACUAAUUCAUCCUGGCCUGGGCUGUGCAGCCCUGCACCAUUCCUUCUACUCCAUUCCAUUACAUUGAGCCACUCUUGCAGUUCUCCCUGGGUGGAGCCUCAAGCAGCUGUCAUGGUUUAUACAAAACUCUCAUUAAAGAAAAAACAACAAGCGGUGAGUGUCCUGUUUGCUGAAAUCCAGAAAGUGUCUGCACUAAGAGAGUGGAGCCACCUGCCUCAGAGGUUUGCCCAGGCCAAUCCCAGCCAUCCAGGAGGAACAGACAUGGAGCCAUAGGGAGAACCUGUCAUUUUCUUAGAGCAAUUUGCAGGUCUGCAAUAUUGCUGUAAGUAACUAUUCACUGUCCUUUCAGUCAAAAUCCAUACAGAACAAAGGAAUAUACUCUUUUAGUAUGCAAUGUCUUGAAAAUAAAAAUCCAACUUACAGCACAGACGAGA
Anas platyrhynchos (mallard) is the source of this 683-nucleotide long non-coding RNA. RefSeq lists it as uncharacterized. Lineage: Eukaryota; Metazoa; Chordata; Aves; Anseriformes; Anatidae. The record is from RefSeq and is a predicted model, not a curated record.